ACACCAAGACCAACACCAACACCAAGACCAACACCAACACCAACACCAAGACCAACACCAAGACCAACACCAACACCAACACCAACACCAACACCAGGAAAUUCUGCUGGCCUCUCAGCUGGGGUCAUUGACAGCAUCGUGGUCGGAGUCCUGGCCGGGGUAGCUCUGAUAGCUCCGGUGUACUUUCUACAUAUCUGAAACAUUGGACGGUCAGGGCCACUCUGACAACUUCCCUAACAAGAUGGAUGAAGCUGCAUAUUCUUCCCUGAAUUUCAAUGUCCAGGAAUCAAAGAGACCAACUUCAGCCUCCCCACACCCACCAGCCACAGAAACAGUUUAUUCAGAAAUAAAAAAGAAGUAAUGCAAC
Molecule: non-coding RNA, 367 nt
Organism: Equus caballus (horse)
Lineage: Eukaryota; Metazoa; Chordata; Mammalia; Perissodactyla; Equidae
Source: RefSeq, a predicted model, not a curated record